ACGGGAGGCAGCAGUGGGGAAUAUUGGGCAAUGGGCGAAAGCCUGACCCAGCAACGCCGCGUGAAGGAAGACGGUCUUCGGAUUGUAAACUUCUUUUAUGAGGGAAGAAGGAAGUGACGGUACCUCAUGAAUAAGCCACGGCUAACUACGUGCCAGCAGCCGCGGUAAUACGUAGGUGGCGAGCGUUAUCCGGAUUUACUGGGUGUAAAGGGAGCGUAGGCGGUGAUGCAAGUCAGGUGUGAAAUCUAUGGGCUUAACUCAUAAACUGCAUUUGAAACUGUAUCACUUGAGUGCUGGAGAGGUAGAUGGAAUUCCUUGUGUAGCGGUGAAAUGCGUAGAUAUAAGGAAGAACACCAGUGGCGAAGGCGAUCUACUGGACAGUAACUGACGCUGAGGCGCGAAAGCGUGGGGAGCAAACAGGAUUAGAUACCCUGGUA
Molecule: ribosomal RNA, 437 nt
Filed under: uncultured Oscillospiraceae bacterium
Lineage: Bacteria; Bacillati; Bacillota; Clostridia; Eubacteriales; Oscillospiraceae
Description: bacterial SSU rRNA
Rfam family: Bacterial small subunit ribosomal RNA
Source: RNAcentral